RNAcentral lists this unclassified non-coding RNA (236 nucleotides) under Hevea brasiliensis (rubber tree). The record is from RNAcentral. Lineage: Eukaryota; Viridiplantae; Streptophyta; Magnoliopsida; Malpighiales; Euphorbiaceae.
AAAAACAUAAGAUAAUAUCUAAGCUAUUACAUAAUUUAAUAGGAACUUGACAUAGGGAAAUCCUUCAAUCAUAAGGAUCCCUCUUCUUGAACUUGGAAGAUCUAUCCAAGCUUUUCACCUACGAGACGUCCUCUUGUCAUCACCACCUACAGUUUGUGUAAAAAGAUGAAAAAGAAUAGUAUUAGUACAAGAAUUCACUACGCAUGGAAAUCAUGCAAAAACUUGCAUUUUUUAAA